UGAGAUUUAGUAGAAAUAGGGGUGUGUGAAAAUUUGCUUGCAGAACUAGAAUGGGUCGCCCUAAGGAAGUAGUUGGGCCCGACAACAAGUCAAACAACAAAAAGAAAAAAGGGUAUGAGGGUGCGUGAAUGGAAAAUGGGUGUGUAGAGGAGAAAGCUGGUCCAAACAUAGGCCCAAGGCCUUAUUCUCAACUAAAACACUUGGGGUUCUGCCCUUUCUUCCCAUUCUCGCUCAAACUCCUAAGACCUAAGGUCUCUUCUUCUCUGCAGAAGAAACAGAAACCGCGCUAUCCUCACCUCCACCCAACCGACAGCCGCGAACCGCAGCCCCUAGCGUCGCUAGUGACGACGUCUGACGCCGGAGCCACCGCCAGUUGAGGCAAAAGUUCCCCUUCUGCCGCUCUUUGUGCACAAGAUCAAAGUGCCCUUGUCGUUCGUGAUACGUUCUCGUCCUUGCCAACGACGCCCGUCGCCGUGAACCGCCGCCCAAGACAUUGCCAUCACUGUCGUUCACCACCGUCUAUGGCGUCGCCAGUAAUGUCGCAUGCCGCCGGAGCCAUCGUCCACCACUGCGCCAGGCCCUUUGCUGCAACCCAAACCUUUGAGAAUCGCACGACGACUCUUCUCCUUUCCCUCUUUGCGCU
RNAcentral lists this long non-coding RNA (643 nucleotides) under Vigna radiata. RNAcentral's name for it is "long non-coding RNA (VRAD_LNC001027)". The record is from RNAcentral. Lineage: Eukaryota; Viridiplantae; Streptophyta; Magnoliopsida; Fabales; Fabaceae.